RNAcentral lists this long non-coding RNA (890 nucleotides) under Chinchilla lanigera (long-tailed chinchilla). RNAcentral's name for it is "lncRNA (ENSCLAG00000027147.1)". The record is from RNAcentral. Lineage: Eukaryota; Metazoa; Chordata; Mammalia; Rodentia; Chinchillidae.
GGCCAAAACAUCUUUAUGCUAUGCAUGACCUUGCCUCCACCAGCAGAUAGAUCCAAAUCAAAAUCAGAGCCCGAUAGACUACUAUCAAAUAUGAUAUGCUUAAUAUUUGACUUUCUGGAUGUACUGAGAAGUGAGUGAAAGUGGAAAUUAGCCAGGUCGUGUCUGAGAGUAGCCCAGGAUGCUGACAUUAACAUAAAAGAGCUUAGCCGGCAUUUACUGACACCCACCACUGGGAGAAAUUAACCUCAGGACUUAAAGGUCAAGUGUGCUAGUGAUAAAGCAGCAAAUGGAGUAUAGCUUUCGACACUGGGUUUAUCUGGAGAAUGAUAAUCCUGCAAACUUGAGACUGAAACUUACAACAUGGGAGCCGACACCAUCUGUAGAUUAAAAGCAUCAUGUCUUUUGCAAGACAGUAUCAUCCACAGCUAUGCUUUUAGAGUUCGCUUUAUAGCUUCUGCUACUGCUGGGAGAUGCUUUUGGAUACACACAGGAUAUAUAACAUCCAUGUUCCCUUCUACACCCAGGCAUUUAGAUCCUGCACUACAGAUCCCACGAAGGAACAGUGUCUGGGGUGCAGAUGGUGCUGCUCAUACACAGACAGAAUUGGGCCAACAAAACACUUAUACCAAACUGCGUAUUGAGCAAAGGACUUCCAGGGAUAGAUACAAAAUUCACUAACACACAGGAUUUGAGCCAGAAUAGGCUAUUUCAGAUCCAGGAAAUACAGGGAAUGACUGCAACCCUUUCAGCAUCUAAAACCUGAAAUCCAAUUUAUGUAUUUUGAGUUUGCAGUUUGGUUUUGUUUCUACUGUGUGUGCACUUCAUUCAUAUGAGUAUUCCACUCCUUUAUUGAGUGGGUAUUUUGUAUAUGUCUGUAUGUACAAAUAAAA